AUGAGCAGCGAACAGGAACACCCGGAGACGUCGGAGCUGGAGGAGGAGGCGGAGAAGGACGAGGACGCCGCCAUCGUGGAGCUGGUGACGGAGCUGAAGCAGGAAGGCACGACGCUGUUCCGGCUGCGGGACUACGACGGCGCGGCGUUCAAGUUCGACGAGGCGAUCCGGCUGUCCCCUCGGGCCCCGCGCGCGUACAACGAGAACGACAUCGCCUCCCUCCACAGCAACGUGGCGGCGUGCUACAUGCACAUGAACGCGCACCGCCCCGAGGACGACUACCACUACCACCAGGCCAUCGACCGGUGCAACAUGGCCCUGGACGCGUCGCCGAGGUACACCAAGGCGCUCCUGAAGCGGGCGCGCUGCUUCGAGGCGCUGGACCGGCUGGACCUGGCCUGCGUCGACGUGCAGGAGGUGCUGACCCUAGAGCCCAACAACGCGGUCGCGCUGGAGCUCCUCGAGAACCUCCGGGAGGAGAUGGAGGAGAAGAAGUUCCUGCUGGAGCAGGAGGCCCGGUCGCUGGACGACCUCAUCAAGGUCAUCUCCGCCAGCGAGAAGGUGGCCAAGCAGUUCAGCUGUACCAUCGCUACCGCCGCAGACCCUGCUAAGAAGGCCGUUUCGACGGAGACGGAUGAUCAGGACGCGGAGGCGAUAUUGAUCCACGGUGACGGUGAGCAGGACGACGAGCAGGCGAGCUACGACGACAAUGACGGGGAAGAAGCACCGAGUGGCCAGACGGAGGAGGAGGCGCAUGUAGGCGAUCAGAGUGGGCAGAACAAGCAGGAAGACGGAGACAACGCAGAGCAUGGCUCUGGAGCGACGAGAUGCGUGGAGCUUUUUCUCGGAGAAGAAGGGGAUGUCAGGAGGAUUGCGCUGCUUCCACAGGAUGGCGGUCUGGCUCAGUUGAUGGACAUAGCUCGGAGCAAGUUCCCCGACCUCAAGGAAUUGUCUGUUAAUUUCAAGGACGACCGGGGUGACUUGGUAACGGUCGACUCGACUACGGACCAGAGCGCAUGGUUCGAUGAAGCGAAUUCCCGGUCCCAAGGGCCACUUCGGUUGUACGUAACCGAAGGUAAUCGCGAACGGGUGUCGUGCCCCGAUCAGCCGAUUCGGGAACACCACUCUGUUGAUCCGUGCUUGUCGCACGAUCAGUAG
RNAcentral lists this ribosomal RNA (1158 nucleotides) under Triticum aestivum (bread wheat). RNAcentral's name for it is "partial small subunit ribosomal RNA". Lineage: Eukaryota; Viridiplantae; Streptophyta; Magnoliopsida; Poales; Poaceae. The record is from RNAcentral.